GACGAACGCUGGCGGCGUGCCUAACACAUGCAAGUCGAGCGAAGGCAUGAGUGUAGCAAUACACUUAUGUACUUAGCGGCGGACGGGUGAGUAACACGUGGAUAAUCUGCCCUGAGGACCGGGACAACUCUUGGAAACGGGAGCUAAUACCGGAUGUGACCACGAUGCUUGAGGGCAUUGGGGUAAAAGGGCGGCCUGCAAGGGCUGUUGCUUCGGGAUGAGUUCACGACCCAUCAGGUAGUUGGGG
This 247-nucleotide ribosomal RNA is filed under the name uncultured bacterium. RNAcentral's name for it is "partial 16S ribosomal RNA". It matches the Rfam family "Bacterial small subunit ribosomal RNA", at positions 28 to 254 of the family's 1533-position model. The record is from RNAcentral.